GCCAUGGCGACGGGCCCGGGCUGUGGGCGCGGAGGGCCGCGCUAUGGGGAGUGCCCCGCGGAAGAGCCGGGCGGUGCGGCAGGCCCGGAGCGAAGGCGCCCGGCAGAGAGCACGCAGAAGCUGCAAGGAGUGCAGUGCGAAUUGACCACAGCCAGUUUUCUUUGUGGAACAGAAGCAAAUAGAAGGUCAUGAGAAAAUUUUAAAGACCCAUAAAGAAGACAAGCCUCAGGAACUGCUGGAAAUGAAUGGGAA
Non-coding RNA from Meleagris gallopavo (turkey), 252 nucleotides. NCBI's taxonomy places the organism in Eukaryota, Metazoa, Chordata, Aves, Galliformes, Phasianidae. The record is from RefSeq and is a predicted model, not a curated record.